RNAcentral lists this long non-coding RNA (587 nucleotides) under Fukomys damarensis (Damara mole-rat). RNAcentral's name for it is "lncRNA (ENSFDAG00000022236.1)". Lineage: Eukaryota; Metazoa; Chordata; Mammalia; Rodentia; Bathyergidae. The record is from RNAcentral.
AUCAUAGUCAUAAUUACUGCAGCUCAAUUCAUAACAGUGAAGCUGUGGAAACAGUCUAAGUCCUUAUCAAUACAGCAAGAAAAUAUGGUGUACGUAUUCACACCACGGAAUAUUAUGCAGACAUAAAGAAGAAUGAAAUCGUGUCAUUUGCAGAAAGAAAGAUGGAACUGGAGAUUAUCGCGUUAAGUGAAAGAAGCCAGGCUCAAACAACACACUUUCUUUCAAGUGAGGCCUCUAGUAAAGACAUUUUAAAAAGCAAAAUGGGAUGAGAAGAAGAAGAAGAUCAGGAGAAGGGGAAAAGACAGAACAAGGGAAGGGGAGUAAUGGAGUGAGGGAAGUGACCAAGUAUGCUCUGUGCAUGCAUAAAUGCACCCGACUGAAAGCCUCCCAUCUCUAGAACUAACAUUGCCAAGAAUUAAAAGAAUGAAGCUCCCUGUUGGAAAGUUCGGCAUCACCCAAGUAAGUGCUUCAGCUUCCUGUAUGGGUACAUCCAUUGGUUCUAGGUGAGAAGUAAAUAAAGGACAAUACUGCGCCUUUCUGCUCCUCUCCAUAGCCUGAUGCAUUCAACAUCACUGGUCAUUCAACAG